RNA transcript from Brassica napus (rape), 6158 nucleotides. It is a transcript of the gene named probable LRR receptor-like serine/threonine-protein kinase At1g29720, with no coding region annotated. NCBI's taxonomy places the organism in Eukaryota, Viridiplantae, Streptophyta, Magnoliopsida, Brassicales, Brassicaceae. The transcript is spliced from 30 exons. The record is from RefSeq and is a predicted model, not a curated record.
UUACUUUGGUCUUACAUGUGUCGCGACUUUCUACUAGCGACGACCAAGAAGACCUAUAUGUAGAUCCUUUCACUGUUACACUUAUUUAGUUAAACAAGUCCACAAAUUUUGAAUUCAAUAAUGGGGGUUGUCUUCUCGGCUCUCGUUCUGUUCUUCACCAUCAUCACAAGUUUUUCCUCCACUCUAACAACAUCCGCUUCACCAGCUCUCCAUCCAGAUGAAUUGAAAGCGCUUGGGGAGAUAGCUACUACACUUGGAAUCAAGAGACUCAACCUAAGUGAUGGAGAUCCUUGCCUUUUAAAAACUCUUAAACUCGGUGUUGUUUCGAAUCCGGAUUCGGAUGUGGAAAACAUUAUUCUUUGUGAUUGUAGUUUCAACAACAACAUGACAUGUCAUAUUAUAGAACUAAUACUCAAGUCCGUAAGUCUUUCAGGGAAACUCCCGCCUGAGUUGGCCAAACUUCAGCAUCUCCAGAAGAUAAACUUGUGCCGAAACUACCUUUCUGGCUCAAUCCCAAUGGAGUGGGCUUCAAUGCCAAACCUCACUUCCAUCUCGUUCUGCGCAAAUCGUUUGUCUGGGCCAUUACCUCCUGGUUUACAAAACUUUAAGAGUCUAAAAUUCCUAGGGGUUGAAGCCAACCAGUUCUCUGGUCCUAUUCCUGAUGAGCUUGGUAACAUGAUCAACCUAACAGGAUUGGAACUUGCAUCCAAUCAAUUUACAGGAAGCCUUCCUAGCUCUCUUGCUAGACUCGUAAAUCUUGAGAAAUUUAGGAUAAGUGAAAAUAACUUCAGUGGCACCAUCCCAGAAUAUAUUGGCAACUGGUCUCGGCUUACAAGGCUAGAUCUACAAGCAAGUGGACUGAAAGGACCUUUUCCUGACGCAGUGGCCCGCCUAGAAAAUCUUACCAAUCUGUUUAUUAGUGAUAUGACCGGGAUAAACUCUUUUCCUAAUAUAUCUAGCCAAGCCAUCAAAGACCUGGUUUUGAGGAAUGUGAGUAUGUCUGGUAAAAUUCCUUCUUACAUUUGGAGUAAACCAAACUUGAGAUCUCUUGAUUUAUCGUUUAACAAGUUGACCGGUGAAGUUCUUGGAAUAAACCCAGUACCAAAAUUUACUUACUUGACUGGCAAUAUGCUUUCCGGGGAAAUUAAAUCUGGUGUUUACCUCAACAGCAGAUCAAAUAUUGACCUCUCUUAUAACAAUUUCUCAUUGCCGUUUAGCUGCCAAGAAAGGAGUAACAUUAAUACAUACCGGAGCUCAUCCUUAAAGAACACUUUAACUGGUCUUCUUCCAUGCGCUGGUCCAAUCACUUGCAAGCACUAUAAGCGAUCGCUACAUAUAAACUGUGGUGGGGAAACUGUGACUGUUACAAACUCUAUUGGUAAAAUCACUUAUCAAGCUGAUAACAGUGAUCAGGUCAAAGCCGCUACAAAUCAGCACUUCAAGAACUGGGGAAUUAGCAACACUGGUGACUUUAUGGAUGAUAAUAGAGAUGAAGAUACGUACAUCAUUUCUACUAGUUUGACACUACCUGGAGAUUCUCCUGAUCUUUAUAAGACUGCGCGUCGAUCUGCUCUCUCUCUUGUUUAUUAUGCGUUUUGCUUGGAAAAUGGAGAAUAUAAUUUGAAACUUCAUUUUAUGGAGAUUCAGUUUUCAGAUCAAGAACUAUAUAGUCGUCUAGGUAGACGCAUAUUUGAUGUCUAUGUUCAGGGGAAAUUGUUCUUGAGGGAUUUUAACAUCAGACAGGAGGCUAAUGGCACUCUGAAGUCUAUUGUGAAAGAACUGAAAGCUGUUAAUGUGACGGAUCAUAAGUUAGAGAUAUGGUUGUAUUGGGCGGGUAAAGGGACAACACUCAUACCCAAAAGAGGAAACUAUGGUCCUCUUAUCUCUGCAAUCUCCUUGUGCCACAGCCUGGAGCAACAUUGUGGAGUGGAGAAAACCAAACAUCACAUCAAUUAUCCACUAAUUUUUGGGGUAACGGGUCCCUUGGUAGCAAUUAUUUUCUUGGCUUUGGGAAUAUUCUAUGCUCACAGAAAAUUCAGACAGGGCAAGAAAAAGAGAGAAAGAGACUUGAGAGCACGGGGUCUGCAAACUGUUUGCUUUACAUGGAGGCAACUGCAAGCUGCAACUAAUGAUUUUGAUGAAGCCAACAAACUUGGAGAAGGAGGUUUCGGUUCUGUAUUCAAAGGAGAGCUGCCAGAUGGAACUAUCAUAGCAGUGAAGCAGCUUUCUUCCAAGUCAUGCCAAGGAAACCGUGAGUUUGUGAAUGAGAUAGGCAUGAUCUCUGGUCUCAAUCAUCCAAACCUUGUCAAGCUUUAUGGAUGCUGUGUCGAAAAGGAUCAAUUGCUACUUGUGUAUGAGUACAUGGAAAACAACUCCCUUGCUCUUGCUUUGUCUGGAAAGAGCUCCUUGAAACUGGACUGGGCAGCAAGAAAGAAAAUCUGUGUGGGAAUCGGAAAAGGGCUUGAAUUUCUCCAUGAAGGAGCUGCGAUGAGAAUGAUUCACCGUGACAUAAAAACUCCCAAUGUGCUUUUAGAUGCCGACCUUAGUGCAAAGAUAUCUGACUUUGGAUUGGCUAGGCUCCACGAAGAAGAACACACUCACAUUAGCACCAAGAUUGCAGGAACCAUCGGAUAUAUGGCUCCAGAAUAUGCUUUAAUGGGUCAUUUGACCGAGAAAGCAGAUGUGUACAGCUUUGGGGUUGUGGCAAUGGAGAUUGUUAGUGGGAAGAGUAAUACAACACAAAAGGGAAGCGAUGACAAUGCCCCACUUAUUAAAUGGGCCAUGACACUGCAACAGAAAGGGGACAUAAUGGAGAUUGUAGAUCCGAAGCUCGAAGGUGAGUUCAACAGCCUAGAAGCAGAGAGGAUGAUCAAAGUUGCUCUUGUUUGCACAAAUGCAACUCCUUCUUUACGUCCACUGAUGUCAGAGGCUGUGAAAAUGCUGGAGGGGGAGAUGGAAAUACCACAGAUUAUGUCAGGUCCUGCCGUGUAUGGACAUGAUUUGAACUUUUCAAAGCUGAUGGAGAUGUAACAGUCAACAUCCAUGUCUGGCUAUGGUCUGUCCCCAUUUAAUCAAGAAUCAGCCACCUCAAACUCCACAGCAGAGUUUUCUUCUUAGUCAUUGGAGUAUCAAAGGCUAUAUCUUUCUCAAAGAUGAGACCCUAUUUCGAAUAAGCUUAUCCAAAAAGAUGAUGAGCCGGGCUGAGGAUUGAGGAGCUUCUUCAACACAGCCAGAUAGCAAAGGCUGUAGCUUGGAAGCUAUAACGAAAGAGAAAGGUGGAGGUUCUGUCCUGUAGACCCACCACCAGUCUUUGCAUCAACUGAUUCUAAUGAUUUGAAAUUCCUAUGCCUGCCAGAUCCCUUAUCGUUCCUCGCCACACAAAAAGUUGUUUGAAACCUUACGUUGGAAUAUAAUUUAUGCUUACCAUGAAAGUUCCUAGUGUUUAAUCCUGGUCAGAUCAUAUCUGGUCACGAUAUCCUGCUUUCUAUCUCCCUGCGUAUAAAAGCUGCUGAAAUCUAUUUUCCAAAGUUGAUAAUGAAACAUGCAUGAAGCUGUAGGCUGUAACUGUUCACUAUUGCAGAUUGAACAAUAAUUGUAGCUUGCUCAAUAAAUGCAGUUCUCUACUAGCAGACUAGGGGACGACCAAGACCCUAUACGUAAAUAAUACGAAAUAUUUCUCUUUUAAAAACAAUUAAAAAAAGACUUCCAUUUCACAAUUAUUUUAUCUCUUCUUCUUGUUGGUAAAGAUUGUGACUAACCAACCAAGUCUACAUAAUCUAUAUCGAUGAUGUGGAUCGUCUUCUUCUUCAUCAUCAUUACAAGCUUCUUUGCGACUCUAACAACACCCACUUCACCAGCUCUCCAUCCAGAUGAAUUGCAUGCGCUUGAGGAGAUAGCUACUACACUUGGUAUAAAGAGAGUGAACCUAAGUUACAAAGACCCAUGCGAUUCACAAAGUCUAAUGAUCAUAAAACAAGCUGAUAGGAAUCUGGAGGUGAACAACACCAUUGCUUGUGACUGUAGCUUCAACAACAACAUGACAUGUCAUAUUACAGAAUUAAGUCUCGUGAAUUUAACUCUUGUGGGGAAAGUUCCACCUGAGUUAGCCAAGCUUCGACAUCUCCGGUCAACAAUGGGCAAUGAGACAAAAAAUCUGUGUAGGAAUCGCAAGAGGUCUUGCAUUCCUCCACGAAGGAUCUAUAGUCAGGAUGGUUCAUCGUGACAUUAAAACAACAAAUGUGCUUCUAGAUGCUGACCUAAACGCAAAGAUAUCUGACUUUGGUUUGGCCAGGCUCCACGAAGAAGAACACAGUCACAUUAGCACCAAGAUUGCAGGAACCAUGUAAGUUAGUAUAUUAUAGCACAAACUUCAGAGUGUACAUGGCUCCAGAGUAUGCAUUAUGGGGUCAACUAACAGAGAAAGCAGACGUGUAUAGCUUCGGAGCAGUCCCGGCUCUUACCCAUGGCAACAUGGGCAUUUGUCAUGGGUCCAUGGGUCCAAAAAUUUUUUGUGUUGUUUUAAAGGUCCAUUUCAAUCUGUUAAAUUAUCAAAAAGAUUCAUAAUUAAGUAAAUCUAAUUUAUUUAUUACAAGACAAAACAAUAAAAAAUCGGUACAUUCACCAUUAAUUUUGAGAUAUAUUUUUUAUUUGUUUCAGGUAGUGUUUUGAAAACCGGACCAGACAUUGAUUCGGCAUUGUAACUAGAUCAAUGGUCGGACCGGUCCAAUUGGUUCAACUGGGUUUUAAAUUUUAAUUAAAUUUUUUAUUAAGUAACUAUUAUAUGUAUAACAAAAUUAUUUUUAUAAAAUUUUAUAUAAUUAUUAGAAUCUAAAAAUGAUAUGAAAACAAAAUUAUUUUUUUUAAAAAUAAUAUAAUAUAAUGAAAAUAAUUUAUUUAGGUAGAUACUUAGAAAACAAUAUGAAAUUUUUAUGAAAUAUUUUUCAAAUUUGCAGUUUAAAAAAAAUUCUUGAAUUUGAAAAAAUAGGAUUUUAAUAUCAACCUUGAUCACUGGUUUUAGCGAGUUUUGCCGGUUUUUGACCGGGUUUGCCAAUUUAACUCAAAUCCGGUUUUUAGUAUAACCCGGAACCGAAUAGAUGGCCGAGUCACGGUCUGACCGGCCGGUCUGGUCCAGCCGGCCGGUCCGGUCCAGUUUUCAAAACACUGGUUUCAGGUUUUAGAGUUCAAAUUAAAAAAAAUGCAGUGAAGAAAAAUAUAGAAAAUAUUUAUAAAAGGGUCCAUAUUUUGGGUUUCGCCCCGGGCUAUUAUAUUGGUUAAGACGGCACUGCUUCGGAGUUGUGGCCAUGGAGAUUGUUAGUGGCAAGAGUAAUACUAAACACAAGGGAAGUGCUGAUCACGUCUCCCUUAUCAAUUGGGCAUUGACGCUGCAACAGACAGGGGACAUAAUGGAUAUUGUAGAUCCAGUGCUUGAUGGUGACUUCAACAGCAAAGAAGCAGUAAGGAUGAUCAAAGUUGCUCUAGUUUGCACACAUUCAUCUCCUUCUUUAAGACCUACAAUGUCUGAGGCUGUACAAAUGCUCGAAGGAGAGAUUGAAGUAACGCAAGUUAUGUCAGAUCAUGGUUUAUAUGGGCAUAACUGGAGCAUCUCAAAGCUGAGGGACGCUGAUACACAUGCUAGCCUGAACAUAUAUGGUGUGACCGAUCAAACAGCAUCGACAAUGAAGUCCUCUGUUUCUGCUAGUGAUCUCUACCCGUUGUAUCCCGAAUCUCUGAUCCUAAACUCCACAUAAACAAGAAAGAAGCAGAGACGUUGAUAAAAGUGGCUCUCGUGUGCACGAGCAAUUCUGCGUCAGAUCGUCCAAUUAUGUCAGAGGUGGUUGGUAUGCUGGAAGGUCACUAUCCAGUACCGGAACCAACCCCGGGAACAAGCAGGAAAUCAGGGGAUAUAAGGUUUAGGGCGUUUAAAGAUGUAAGGAAAGGCAUGGAAGAGAACAACAGUAAGACUCAGUUUUCUCUUAAUAGUUAUCCUUCUUCUUCUUCCGAUACUCAUGUGGCUGGACAAGAAAGAAAGCAAGAUGAGUCAGGGCCUUGAAGAGGUUUCCAAUUUGCUGUCCUCUCUCUAUAUUUUGUAAAUGAUAUGAGUUUUAAUUAUGUAAAACCGUUUGGAAGUUUAUUACACGAUUAGUCCAUUUACUGUGCUU